GAUGAACGCUGGCGGCGUGCCUAAUACAUGCAAGUCGAGCGAACAGAUAAGGAGCUUGCUCCUUUGACGUUAGCGGCGGACGGGUGAGUAACACGUGGAUAACCUACCUAUAAGACUGGGAUAACUUCGGGAAACCGGAGCUAAUACCGGAUAACAUAUUGAACCGCAUGGUUCAAUAGUGAAAGGCGGCUUUGCUGUCACUUAUAGAUGGAUCCGCGCCGUAUUAGCUAGUUGGUAAGGUAACGGCUUACCAAGGCAACGAUACGUAGCCGACCUGAGAGGGUGAUCGGCCACACUGGAACUGAGACACGGUCCAGACUCCUACGGGAGGCAGCAGUAGGGAAUCUUCCGCAAAGGGCGAAAGCCUGACGGAGCAAUGCCGCGUGAGUGAUGAAGGUCUUCGGAUCGUAAAACUCUGUUAUCAGGGAAGAACAAAUGUGUAAGUAACUGUGCACAUCUUGACGGUACCUGAUCAGAAAGCCACGGCUAACUACGUG
This 497-nucleotide ribosomal RNA is filed under the name uncultured bacterium. RNAcentral's name for it is "partial 16S ribosomal RNA". It matches the Rfam family "Bacterial small subunit ribosomal RNA", at positions 28 to 507 of the family's 1533-position model. The record is from RNAcentral.